This 468-nucleotide ribosomal RNA is filed under the name uncultured bacterium. RNAcentral's name for it is "partial 16S ribosomal RNA". It matches the Rfam family "Bacterial small subunit ribosomal RNA", at positions 28 to 507 of the family's 1533-position model. The record is from RNAcentral.
GACGAACGCUGGCGGCGUGCUUAACACAUGCAAGUCGAACGGAAAGGCCCUGCUUUUGUGGGGUGCUCGAGUGGCGAACGGGUGAGUAACACGUGAGUAACCUGCCCUUGACUUUGGGAUAACUUCAGGAAACUGGGGCUAAUACCGGAUAGGAGCUCCUGCUGCAUGGUGGGGGUUGGAAAGUUUCGGCGGUUGGGGAUGGACUCGCGGCUUAUCAGCUUGUUGGUGGGGUAGUGGCUUACCAAGGCUUUGACGGGUAGCCGGCCUGAGAGGGUGACCGGCCACAUUGGGACUGAGAUACGGCCCAGACUCCUACGGGAGACAGCAGUGGGGAAUAUUGCACAAUGGGCGGAAGCCUGAUGCAGCAACGCCGCGUGCGGGAUGACGGCCUUCGGGUUGUGAACCGCUUUCGCCUGUGACGAAGCGUGAGUGACGGUAAUGGGUAAAGAAGCACCGGCUAACUACGUG